UAGCUAGUUGGUGAGGUAACGGCUUACCAAGGCGACGAUCUGUAGCGGGUCUGAGAGGAUGAUCCGCCACACUGGAACUGAGACACGGUCCAGACUCCUACGGGAGGCAGCAGUGGGGAAUUUUGGACAAUGGGGGCAACCCUGAUCCAGCCAUGCCGCGUGAGUGAAGAAGGCCUUCGGGUUGUAAAGCUCUUUCGGCCGGGAAGAAAUCGCAUGGGCCAAUACCCUGUGUGGAUGACGGUACCGGAAUAAGAAGCACCGGCUAACUACGUGCCAGCAGCCGCGGUAAUACGUAGGGUGCGAGCGUUAAUCGGAAUUACUGGGCGUAAAGCGUGCGCAGGCGGUUUUGUAAGACAGGCGUGAAAUCCCCGGGCUCAACCUGGGAACUGCGUUUGUGACUGCAAGGCUAGAGUACGGCAGAGGGGGGGGGGAUUCCACGUGUAGCAGUGAAAUGCGUAGAGAUGUGGAGGAACACCAAUGGCGAAGGCAGCCCCCUGGGUCGAUACUGACGCUCAUGCACGAAAGCGUGGGUAGCAAACAGGAUUAGAUACCCUGGUAGUCCACGCCCUAAACUAUGUCAACUAGGUGUUGGGUGGGUAAAACCAUUUAGUACCGUAGCUAACGCGUGAAGUUGACCGCCUGGGGAGUACGGCCGCAAGGUUAAAACUCAAAGGAAUUGACGGGGACCCGCACAAGCGGUGGAUGAUGUGGAUUAAUUCGAUGCAACGCGAAAAACCUUACCUACCCUUGACAUGCCAGGAACUUGCCAGAGAUGGCUUGGUGCCCGAAAGGGAGCCUGGACACAGGUGCUGCAUGGCUGUCGUCAGCUCGUGUCGUAAGAUGUUGGGUUAAGUCCCGCAACGAGCGCAACCCUUGUCGUUAAUUGCCAUCAUUUAGUUGGGCACUUUAGCGAGACUGCCGGUGACAAACCGGAGGAAGGUGGGGAUGACGUCAAGUCCUCAUGGCCCUUAUGGGUAGGGCUUCACACGUCAUACAAUGGUCGGUACAAAGGGUCGCCAAGCCGCGAGGUGGAGCCAAUCCCAGAAAGCCGAUCGUAGUCCGGAUUGCAGGCUGCAACUCGCCUGCAUGAAGUCGGAAUCGCUAGUAAUCGUGGAUCAGCAUGUCACGGUGAAUACGUUCCCGGGUCUUGUACACACCGCCCGUCACACCAUGGGAGCGGGUUCCGCCAGAAGUAGGUAGCCUAACCGCAAGGAGGGCGCUUACCACGGCGGGGUUCGUGACUGGGGUGAAGUCGGAACAAGGUAGCCGUAGGGGAACCUGCGGCUG
This 1287-nucleotide ribosomal RNA is filed under the name metagenome. Its description in RNAcentral is "bacterial SSU rRNA". It matches the Rfam family "Bacterial small subunit ribosomal RNA", at positions 242 to 1520 of the family's 1533-position model. The record is from RNAcentral.